GGAAUAUUGUAAUACCUGGCUAGAUUCCGGUAUCGGAAUUCCUACCGUCCGGUGGAAUCUCGGAUGUCGGAGACCUCUAGAAGGGUAAAAUCAUGUUUUUAUAAAAUGUUUUAAUGUAUUUUAUGAUUUUAAGUAAGAAGAAAAUUGAGUUUUGAAUGAAAAAGACUAAGGAGGCAUUACCAGGUUCGGCUGCCGAACCUCAAG
Molecule: long non-coding RNA, 204 nt
Filed under: Manihot esculenta (cassava)
Lineage: Eukaryota; Viridiplantae; Streptophyta; Magnoliopsida; Malpighiales; Euphorbiaceae
Description: long non-coding RNA (MESC_LNC001852)
Source: RNAcentral